UACGGGGGGGGCAAGCGUUGUUCGGAAUUACUGGGCGUAAAGGGCUCGUAGGCGGCCAACUAAGUCAGACGUGAAAUCCCUCGGCUUAACCGGGGAACUGCGUCUGAUACUGGAUGGCUUGAGUUUGGGAGAGGGAUGCGGAAUUCCAGGUGUAGCGGUGAAAUGCGUAGAUAUCUGGAGGAACACCGGUGGCGAAGGCGGCUUUCUGGACGGUAACUGACGCUGAGACGCGAAAGCGUGGGGAGCAAACAGG
Molecule: ribosomal RNA, 253 nt
Filed under: uncultured bacterium
Lineage: Bacteria
Description: partial 16S ribosomal RNA
Rfam family: Bacterial small subunit ribosomal RNA
Source: RNAcentral